GCCGGGCGCGGUGGCUCACGCCUGUAAUCCUAGCAUUUGGGAGGCCGAGGUGGGUGGAUCACCUGAGGUCAGGAGUUCGAGACCAGCCUGGCCAUCAUGGUGAAACCCCAUCUUUUUUUAAUUUUUAAUUUUAAGAUGGGAUUUCACCAUGUUGGCCAGGAUGGUCUCGAACUCCUGACCUCAAGUGAACCACCCACCUCGGC
Molecule: signal recognition particle RNA, 203 nt
Filed under: Callithrix jacchus (white-tufted-ear marmoset)
Lineage: Eukaryota; Metazoa; Chordata; Mammalia; Primates; Cebidae
Description: Metazoan signal recognition particle RNA (ENSCJAG00000054340.2)
Rfam family: Metazoan signal recognition particle RNA
About the family: The signal recognition particle (SRP) is a universally conserved ribonucleoprotein.
Source: RNAcentral